UCCGGGCUAAUGGACAUCUCUUGGGGCCUAUGGAUAAGGAGCAUCCCCGGUUGCAAGCGUAGGGUUCUAACUAAGUUUGUAGGGUUCAGUGCGGGAGCUUGGCAGUGACACAGAGAGGCUGAGGGAGGGCUUCAGAGGUCGAGGGCUCGAGGGCUGGAGACAAACAGUGAAAAUAAAAAGGGUACAGGUUGGGAUAUAAGGUAGAGUACAGGACUAUUCAAACCCUAAACAGCAGCCCUAACUGCGCUCCCAUUUCCCUGAGACAGCUGCAGGCAGGAACCCUAAAGCAGCAGAGUGCCAGAACCCCUGGUACUGCAGACAGUACCCCUGGUGCUAGGGUCAGCCAGGAAGAGAUAGUGGGUGCUAGGGCCUACUGCUGUCAUAUAAGAUGGGGUUUCCAUCCUUGGGGUACCCUGGGCUCCCUGUCCCUCACUGACUGGAGAGUCUUCCUCCCCUCCUUGAGGAGGUGGUAAUUUGGCUGUGUCAGCCAAUACAGCUGUGAAGCAAGCCUCUGCCUCCCUGUGGGGUGAAGUCUGCAGCCCAUGAACCUGGGCAUUCUCUAGAGAAGGUAAGUGCUGGGUUUUCACAGAUGUGCCGCUAAGAUCCUGCAUUGAUAUUUGGUCUUCUAGAUUGUAGCUGACCAGGAGACGACAUCCUGGCGAUGGCAGGAACUUCCCGGAUAGCGCAGCGGCCUUCCAGGGUGUCCUCGUGUGGAUCCUCCCCGCCAGGCAUCCGAGAGCUAAGUCAAAGGCUACAAAUUGCAGAGGGGCUAAAAGCGGGGUGCCGGGUCGGGACUCUGGACCUGGGAUUUUUGAGUCAGCUUUGGGGACGGGGAGGUCCAGGCUGUGGUCCCUUAGGCCACGUGAAGGGAGAGCCUCACAUUUGUUCACAGUGCUGAGGUGUGCAGGACAGAGCAGUCCCGGGGCGUGUCCCAUCACUUGUCCAUCGUGCCUUCUGUGUCUUUUGUGCCUCUCCUGUUGUAUGUGCCUCGCCUUAUCUCUUCUGGGGGCUUACCAGAAACCCCGGCAUCACUCCUCGCAUCUCUGAUCUCUGGGCUCCUCAGCCCGACACCAUCGAAGCUUUGCCUCGGGAGCUCUCAGAGGCCUUGGAAUCGUGUCUCUCUUUUAAAAGCAUCCGAUCGGAUGUCUUUUAGAGGUCUUGUUCCGUGCUGUGUCGACAGCCGUGCGCCGCGAGGAUCCAUUGUUGCGGCUUAGGUCUUGAAGAAACGCAGAGAUAGGUAGGGGGCUGUGGCCCUCAGAUUCUCGGGCAUCCGUCUUGGCAGUUGCUGGAGUUUGUCAUUCCGUCAGCAUCUUCUUCCUCCCGGGUUCUGCGAGCUUCAUCAGCUCGCCUUCAUUCUCACCCGGCUCAUCUCAUUCCGCGUUCUCUCGGUCCUUGCGGCCGUUCUUGUGGCCCAGAGUUUUGUCUCCCCGUUGUGUCCCCUCGUCUGUUGUCUUGUGUGUCACGGGUGUCUGGGUGUAGUUGUCCCGGAGCUGCUCUGUCCUGCUGCCCAGCCUGGGUGUAGGUGUAAAAGGCCAAGUCCCAGGCCCCUGUAAUUUGAAAUUUGUCAUGUAGGGUGUAGUUGGAGUCUAGAGGGUAUUCCUAGAUUGACACAAGAUGUCUGGAGCUGUGAAGUUACUCUGCAGCACUUUGACUUUUGUCCCAGCUUUCUUUCAGAUGCGGACGGAUGAAAUCGGUGGCAGAGCGCCCCAUCCAGGGUAAGGGGGUUCCCCCGAGAAGGUAAGUCAAUGUUUGUCUUUGCAGGGCAACUGGAACCGGUCACUGUGUGACAGGUCUCCUCUUUGUCUUUAUUCUUAGGAAGUGAAGCCAGCUGGCAGCAGUCAAGGUGAAGUGGACAAGGCGGUCCAGUCGCGUUUCGCUGAGACGUCCUUGCCAACCGGCCGGCACAGCUGCUUCACCGCUCGCGUGAGCCCUGCGGAAGCGUUAUGGAACCGUGUGACGGAGCCUUUUCCACGUAAAGGGGCCGUGUGGGUGGCCUUCAGGAAGGGGCCGAGGGGUUGCCGCACGCCCUGCGAUGACGGCGUCCGGCUCCCGGCGUGGCCGAAGCGCGCGGCCUCAGGACGUGGCCGUUCGCAGGAGACCCUGACUGAGAGACGGCAGCCUGGUGAUGGCAGGAACUUCCCAGAUGGCGAGGCGCCCUUCCUUGGCGCUCCAUGUGGAUCCUCCCCGCUGGGCAUCCGAGAGCUGAGUCGGAGGCUGCGAAUUGCAGAGGGGCUGAAAUCGGGGUGCCGGGUCGGGACUCUGGACCUGGGAUUAUGGAGUCAGCUUUGGGGACGGGGAGGUCCAGGCUGUGGCCCCUUAGGCCACGUGAAGGGAGAGCCUCACAUUUGUUCACAGUGCUGAGGUGUGCAGGACAGAGCAGUCCCGGGGCGUGUUGUAUCACUUGUCCGUCGUGCCUUCUGUGUCUUUUGUGCCUCUCGUGUUGUACGUGCCUCGCCUUAUCUCUUCUGGGGGCGUACCAGAAACCCUGGUGUCACUCCUCGCAUCUCUGAUCUCUGGGCUCCUCAGCCCGACACCAUCGAAGCUUUGCCUCAGGAGCUCUCAGAGGCCUUGGAAUCGCGUCUCUCUUUUAAAAGCAUCCGAUCGGAUGUCUUUUAGAGGUCUUGUUCCGAGCUGUGUCGACAGCCGUGCGCCGCGAGGAUCCAUUGCUGCGGCUUAGGUCUUGAAGAAGCGCAGAGAUAGGUAGGGGGCUGUGGCCCUCAGAUUCUCGGGCAUCCGUCUUGGCAGUUGCUGGAGUUUGUCAUUCCAUCAGCAUCUUCUUCCUCCCGGGUUCUGCGAGCUUCAUCAGCUCGCCUUCAUUCUCACCCGGCUCAUCUCGUUCCGCGUUCUCUCGGUCCUUGCGGCCGUUCUUGUGGCCCUGAGUUUUGUCUCCUCAUUGUGUCCCCUCGUCUGUUGUCUUGUGUGUCACGGGUGUCUGGGUGUAGUUGUCCCGGAGCUGCUCUGUCCUGCUGCCCAGCCUGGGUGUAGGUGUAAAAGGCCGAGUCCUAGGCCCCUGUAAUUUGAAAUUUGUCAUGUAGGGUGUAGUUGGAGUCUAGCGGGUGUUCCUAGAUUGACACAAGAUGUGUGGAGCUGUGAAGUCACCCUGCAGCACUUUGACUUUUGUCUCAGCUUUCUUUCAGAUGCGGACGGAUGAAAUCGGUGGCAGAGCGCCCCAUCCAGGGUAAGGGGGUUCCCCCGAGAAGGAAGUGAAGCCAGCUGGCAGCAGUCAAGGCAAAGCGGGCAAGGCGGUCCAGUCGCGUUUCGCUGAGACGUCCUCGCCAACCGGCCGGCACAGCUGCUUCACCGCUCCCGUGAGCCCUGCGGAAGCGUUAUGGAACCGUGUGAUGGAGCCUUCUCCACGUAAAGGGGCCGUGUGGGUGGCCUUCAGGAAGGGGCCGAGGGGUUGCCGCGCGCCCUGUGACGACGGCGUCCAGCUCCCGAUGUGGCCGAAGCGCGUGGCCUCAGGACGUGGCCGUUCGCAGGAGACCCUGACCGAGAGACGGCAGCCUGCCGAUGGCAGGAACUUCCCAGAUGGCGAGGCGCCCUUCCUUGGCGCUCCGUGUGGAUCCUCCCCGCUGGGCAUCCGAGAGCUGAGUCGGAGGCUGCGAAUUGCAGAGGGGCUGAAAUCGGGGUGCCGGGUCGGGACUCUGGACCUGGGGUUAUGGAGUCAGCUUUGGGGACGGGGAGGUCCAGGCUGUGGCCCCUUAGGCCACGUGAAGGGAGAGCCUCACAUUUGUUCACAGUGCUGAGGUGUGCAGGACAGAGCAGUCCCGGGCCGUGUUGUAUCACUUGUCCGUCGUGCCUUCUGUGUCUUUUGUGCCUCUCGUGUUGUACGUGCCUUGCCUUAUCUCUUCUGGGGGCUUACCAGAAACCCCAGUGUCACUCGUAGCAUCUCUGAUCUCUGGGCUCCUCAGCCCGACACCAUCGAAGCUUUGCCUCGGGAGCUCUCAGAGGCCUUGGAAUCGUGUCUCUCUUUUAAAAGCAUCCGAUCGGAUGUCUUUUAGAGGUCUUGUUCCGAGCUGUGUCGACAGCCGUGCGCCGCGAGGAUCCAUUGUUGCGGCUUAGGUCUUGAAGAAACGCAGAGAUAGGUAGGGGGCUGUGGCCCUCAGGUUCUCGGGCAUCCGUCUUGGCAGUUGCUGGAGUUUGUCAUUCCAUCAGCAUCUUCUUCCUCCCGGGUUCUGCGAGCUUCAUCAGCUCGCCUUCAUUCUCACCCGGCUCAUCUCGUUCCGCGUUCUCUCGGUCCUUGCGGCCGUUCUUGUGGCCCUGAGUUUUGUCUCCUCAUUGUGUCCCCUCGUCUGUUGUCUUGUGUGUCACGGGUGUCUGGGUGUAGUUGUCCCGGAGCUGCUCUGUCCUGCUGCCCAGCCUGGGUGUAGGUGUAAAAGGCCGAGUCCUAGGCCCAUGUAAUUUGAAAUUUGUCAUGUAGGGUGUAGUUGGAGUCUAGCGGGUGUUCCUAGAUUGACACAAGAUGUGUGGAGCUGUGAAGUUACCCUGCAGCACUUUGACUUUUGUCUCAGCUUUCUUUCAGAUGCGGACGGAUGAAAUCGGUGGCAGAGCGCCCCAUCCAGGGUAAGGGGGUUCCCGCGAGAAGGUAAGUCAAUGUUUGUCUUUGCAGGGCAAC
Long non-coding RNA from Poecile atricapillus (Black-capped chickadee), 4615 nucleotides. RefSeq lists it as uncharacterized. NCBI's taxonomy places the organism in Eukaryota, Metazoa, Chordata, Aves, Passeriformes, Paridae. The record is from RefSeq and is a predicted model, not a curated record. The transcript is spliced from 8 exons.